AGAGUUUGAUCCUGGCUCAGGACGAACGCUGGCGGCGCGCCUAACACAUGCAAGUCGAACGAGCGAGAGAGAGCUUGCUUUCUCGAGCGAGUGGCGAACGGGUGAGUAACGCGUGAGGAACCUGCCUCAAAGAGGGGGACAACAGUUGGAAACGACUGCUAAUACCGCAUAAGCCCACGGGUCGGCAUCGACCAGAGGGAAAAGGAGCAAUCCGCUUUGAGAUGGCCUCGCGUCCGAUUAGCUAGUUGGUGAGGUAACGGCCCACCAAGGCAACGAUCGGUAGCCGGACUGAGAGGUUGAACGGCCACAUUGGGACUGAGACACGGCCCAGACUCCUACGGGAGGCAGCAGUGGGGAAUAUUGCACAAUGGGGGAAACCCUGAUGCAGCGACGCCGCGUGGAGGAAGAAGGUCUUCGGAUUGUAAACUCCUGUUGUUGGGGAAGAUAAUGACGGUACCCAACAAGGAAGUGACGGCUAACUACGUGCCAGCAGCCGCGGUAAAACGUAGGUCACAAGCGUUGUCCGGAAUUACUGGGUGUAAAGGGAGCGCAGGCGGGAAGACAAGUUGGAAGUGAAAUCUAUGGGCUCAACCCAUAAACUGCUUUCAAAACUGUUUUUCUUGAGUAGUGCAGAGGUAGGCGGAAUUCCCGGUGUAGCGGUGGAAUGCGUAGAUAUCAGGAGGAACACCAGUGGCGAAGGCGGCCUACUGGGCACCAACUGACGCUGAGGCUCGAAAGUGUGGGUAGCAAACAGGAUUAGAUACCCUGGUAGUUCACACCGUAAACGAUGAUUACUAGGUGUUGGAGGAUUGACCCCUUCAGUGCCGCAGUUAACACAAUAAGUAAUCCACCUGGGGAGUACGACCGCAAGGUUGAAACUCAAAGGAAUUGACGGGGGCCCGCACAAGCAGUGGAGUAUGUGGUUUAAUUCGACGCAACGCGAAGAACCUUACCAAGUCUUGACAUCCCUUGACAGACAUAGAAAUAUGUAAUCUCUUCGGAGCAAGGAGACAGGUGGUGCAUGGUUGUCGUCAGCUCGUGUCGUGAGAUGUUGGGUUAAGUCCCGCAACGAGCGCAACCCUUAUGGUCAGUUACUACGCAAGAGGACUCUGGCCAGACUGCCGUUGACAAAACGGAGGAAGGUGGGGAUGACGUCAAAUCAUCAUGCCCUUUAUGACUUGGGCUACACACGUACUACAAUGGCGUUAAACAAAGAGAAGCAAGACCGCGAGGUGGAGCAAAACUCAGAAACAACGUCCCAGUUCGGACUGCAGGCUGCAACUCGCCUGCACGAAGUCGGAAUUGCUAGUAAUCGUGGAUCAGCAUGCCACGGUGAAUACGUUCCCGGGCCUUGCACACACCGCCCGUCA
RNAcentral lists this ribosomal RNA (1370 nucleotides) under uncultured bacterium. RNAcentral describes it as "bacterial SSU rRNA". It matches the Rfam family "Bacterial small subunit ribosomal RNA". The record is from RNAcentral.